This 92-nucleotide transfer RNA is filed under the name Streptomyces tuirus. RNAcentral describes it as "tRNA-Val". Lineage: Bacteria; Bacillati; Actinomycetota; Actinomycetes; Kitasatosporales; Streptomycetaceae. The record is from RNAcentral.
CCACCGACAGCCGGGAGAUCCGGCCGUCACGGCUGACUCCCGCGUUGUUGACCAGGACGUCGACGCCGCCGUACGUCUCGGCGGCGGUGGUC